RNAcentral lists this small RNA (60 nucleotides) under Arabidopsis thaliana (thale cress). RNAcentral describes it as "ATSL261940". Lineage: Eukaryota; Viridiplantae; Streptophyta; Magnoliopsida; Brassicales; Brassicaceae. The record is from RNAcentral.
UUGUUGAAGAACUCCAAGCUGUUGACGAGCUGUUAGGCGGGCAAUAGCAAGCUAGGAAGG